GAUGAACGCUGGCGGCGUGCCUAAUACAUGCAAGUCGAGCGAACAGAUGAGGAGCUUGCUCCUCUGACGUUAGCGGCGGACGGGUGAGUAACACGUGGAUAACCUACCUAUAAGACUGGGAUAACUUCGGGAAACCGGAGCUAAUACCGGAUAAUAUAUUGAACCGCAUGGUUCAAUAGUGAAAGACGGUUUUGCUGUCACUUAUAGAUGGAUCCGCGCCGCAUUAGCUAGUUGGUAAGGUAACGGCUUACCAAGGCAACGAUGCGUAGCCGACCUGAGAGGGUGAUCGGCCACACUGGAACUGAGACACGGUCCAGACUCCUACGGGAGGCAGCAGUAGGGAAUCUUCCGCAACGGGCGGAAGCCUGACGGAGCAACGCCGCGUGAGUGAUGAAGGUCUUCGGAUCGUAAAACUCUGUUAUUAGGGAAGAACAAAUGUGUAAGUAACUAUGCACGUCUUGACGGUACCUAAUCAGAAAGCCACGGCUAACUACGUG
RNAcentral lists this ribosomal RNA (497 nucleotides) under uncultured bacterium. Its description in RNAcentral is "partial 16S ribosomal RNA". It matches the Rfam family "Bacterial small subunit ribosomal RNA", at positions 28 to 507 of the family's 1533-position model. The record is from RNAcentral.